AGCAGCCGCGGUAAUUCCAGCUCCAAUAGCGUAUAUUAAAGUUGUUGCAGUUAAAAAGCUCGUAGUUGAAUUUCGGGAUCGACGGGUCGGUCGCGCCUCUGGUGUGUACUGGCCCUGUCGGUUUCUCCCUUCUGACGAACCACGAUGUCAUUAAUUUGGUGUCGUGGGAAAUCAGGACUGUUACUUUGAAAAAUUAGAGUGUUUAAAGCAGGCAUUCGCUUGAAUACAUUAGCAUGGAAUAAUGAAAUAGGACGUUUGAUCUUAUUUUGUUGGUUUCUAAGAUCGACGUAAUGAUUAAUAGGGAUAGUUGGGGGCAUUAGUAUUCAAUUGUCAGAGGUGAAAUUCUUGGAUUUAUUGAAGACUAACUACUGCGAAAGCAUUUGCCAAGGAUGUUUUCAUUAAUCAAGAACGAAAGUUAGGGGAUCGAAGACGAUCAGAUACCGUCGUAGU
Molecule: ribosomal RNA, 450 nt
Filed under: uncultured Glomus
Lineage: Eukaryota; Fungi; Glomeromycota; Glomeromycetes; Glomerales; Glomeraceae
Also listed under: 1 other name
Description: SSU rRNA
Rfam family: Eukaryotic small subunit ribosomal RNA
Source: RNAcentral